AGAUUUGUGCCAGGCAAUUGCAGCAGAGAUCGGGCGGAGCUGAAACUUUAGGAAUUAGGCACAUCUCAUUAACUGAAAAAAAGAGUGGAAAGAUGUGUGUUUGAUCUGGUGAUGAGGUUUUCAAUCGGACGCAGCAGCCAGCAGGUAACUCCUUACUACAAAUUUAAUAUUUUGAUCGAAAUAUUUAAUACCGGUGAUUAGCUUAGUAGACGGGUUAUGUUCAUGUGUUAGAAAGACGAAUUGCUUUUGUAUUCUUCUUCUAGUUUGAUGAGUUUAAUUUGUUCUCAUCUGUCUGUAAUGUCUCCAGAGACCACCAGAGAUAUGUCUCCUGUGCUCGUUAAUAUAUAACUAUGCAAUUGCAUGUUUCUUGCCUCAAAUAUGAACCGUUUCAAACAAAUCAAAUUAAUCAGCAAGGUGAAGCUUAAGUUUGUUACUUUGGUUCGUUAUUGAUAGAAAUUUAUUAGAACAUAAC
RNAcentral lists this long non-coding RNA (472 nucleotides) under Citrus maxima (pomelo). RNAcentral's name for it is "long non-coding RNA (CMAX_LNC000964)". Lineage: Eukaryota; Viridiplantae; Streptophyta; Magnoliopsida; Sapindales; Rutaceae. The record is from RNAcentral.